UACGUAUGGGGCAAGCGUUGUCCGGAAUCAUUGGGCGUAAAGAGCGUGUAGGCGGCCCGGUAAGUCCGCUGUGAAAGUCCAGGGCUCAACCCUGGAAUGCCGGUGGAUACUGUCGGGCUCGAAUCCGGAAGAGGUGAGUGGAAUUCCUGGUGUAGCGGUGAAAUGCGCAGAUAUCAGGAGGAACACCAAUGGAGAAGGCAGCUAACUGGGACGGUAUUGACGCUGAGACGAGAAAGCGUGGGGAGCAAACAGG
Molecule: ribosomal RNA, 253 nt
Filed under: uncultured bacterium
Lineage: Bacteria
Description: partial 16S ribosomal RNA
Rfam family: Bacterial small subunit ribosomal RNA
Source: RNAcentral